This 354-nucleotide ribosomal RNA is filed under the name Triticum aestivum (bread wheat). RNAcentral's name for it is "partial small subunit ribosomal RNA". The record is from RNAcentral. Lineage: Eukaryota; Viridiplantae; Streptophyta; Magnoliopsida; Poales; Poaceae.
AUGUUGGGCAACUGGUCAGUUGGGCUUUGUGACUGCUUUGGAGAUUGCAGCAGCUGUUGCUUGACAUGUUGGUGCCCCUGCGUUACAUUUGGUCGCGUUGCUGAGAUUGUCGACGGAGGUUCAUCAUCAUGCUGCAUGCAUGGGACCCUAUAUGUUUUGCUAGGGUCUGUAGGCUGGAACUGGUUGUAUUCUUGUACCAGGCGCUCCUCAAUGCGGGCACAAUACAACUUGCUAGGGUCACCCUACAUGGACUGCCUUGUUCACCUGUGUUGUGAGAGGUGCGCGCUAUGCCAAGAGUACAAAGAGCUGGAAAAUCGCGGCUUCAACAUGUCUAAAGGUAUCAUUCUUUGCUGA